AUUGUCAAUGCAUUACAGACCUAAAUCCCAGAACAACUGUCUAUCUUCAAAAAUAAAAGUCAAGAGAAGACGCAUAGUUCAGUCUGGGCAGCACAAGUGAUGUAGUAACAAGGAAGGUGCACAUCUUACUGCACGGGGAACAGUAUUGGGCGAGUGUCCUGAAAGGUUAGGGACCAGCAGCGCUGAGCAUGUAAACAUGGAAGGUGCACAUCUUACUGCACGGGGAACAGUAUUGGGCGAGUGUCCUGAAAGGUUAGGGACCAGCAGCGCUGAGCAUGUAAACAUGGAAGGUGCACAUCUUACUGCACGGGGAACAGUACUGGGCGAGUGUCCUGAAAG
Brienomyrus brachyistius is the source of this 339-nucleotide long non-coding RNA. RefSeq lists it as uncharacterized. The transcript has 4 exons. NCBI's taxonomy places the organism in Eukaryota, Metazoa, Chordata, Actinopteri, Osteoglossiformes, Mormyridae. The record is from RefSeq and is a predicted model, not a curated record.